GUAAGUUUAUUAUUUAAUUGUUACGAUAUAAAUAUUUUUCGCAAUGCUAUUUAAGUUACUUAAUUAUGCAAUUGGUAUUUAUUUAAUGUUAUUUGUAUAUAUUUUUUUUCUUCUUUUUGCAGCAUCGUUUGCAACUUGUCCCUGUCAGCCACGGGAAAAAGAUGAGGGAGUUGGCUGCAUUAGUGCCGGAUGAGCAGUGGUUUAGGGAUCGUGUGCAAGCGACCGGGUUGGCAGACCUCGCCAAGAUAGGGUAUGAACAUCUAG
Molecule: long non-coding RNA, 264 nt
Filed under: Lathyrus oleraceus (garden pea)
Lineage: Eukaryota; Viridiplantae; Streptophyta; Magnoliopsida; Fabales; Fabaceae
Description: Pisum sativum (pea) long non-coding RNA (PSAT_LNC032494)
Source: RNAcentral